This 511-nucleotide ribosomal RNA is filed under the name uncultured bacterium. RNAcentral's name for it is "bacterial SSU rRNA". It matches the Rfam family "Bacterial small subunit ribosomal RNA", at positions 15 to 518 of the family's 1533-position model. The record is from RNAcentral.
GAUUAUGGCUCAGGAUGAACGCUAGCUACAGGCUUAACACAUGCAAGUCGAGGGGCAGCAUGUGGUGCUGCAACCAAUGAUGGCGACCGGCGCACGGGUGAGUAACGCGUAUCCAACCUUCCCUAUAGUAGAGGAUAGCCCGGCGAAAGUCGGAUUAAUACUCUAUGUUUUCCAAUGCAGACAUCUAAAAUGGAACAAAGGUUCACCGCUAUAGGAUGGGGAUGCGUCUGAUUAGAUAGUCGGCGGGGUAACGGCCCACCGAGUCGACGAUCAGUAGGGGUUCUGAGAGGAAGGUCCCCCACAUUGGAACUGAGACACGGUCCAAACUCCUACGGGAGGCAGCAGUGAGGAAUAUUGGUCAAUGGGCGAGAGCCUGAACCAGCCAAGUAGCGUGCAGGAAGACGGCCCUAUGGGUUGUAAACUGCUUUUAUACAGGGAUAAAGUGACGUACGUGUACGUUAUUGUAGGUACUGUAUGAAUAAGGACCGGCUAAUUCCGUGCCAGCAGCUGC